GGAAAUAGGAUAGUACUUAAAUAUUUAAGAGAAACAUUGGUAUAGAAGUAUAUUUUGAACUGAAUUAUAUUUAAAGUGAUAACUUACAUAAUUUGUUUUUUAAAUCUUUUUGACUGAGAUAUUCCUUUAUAUUACUAAAUCGUAUUUCUCUCUCCCUCUCACCCACCCCACCUCAUAGUAUAUGCUGGCUUUAAUAUACACAAAUGAUUUUACAGACGUAGCAAAAAUACCUUAGAUGGAGUGUCAAUAAAUUAUUCAGAAUUUCAUAGCUUUGGUUUUGUAUUCAAUUCCUAAUAAAGAGUAAAACUAGUAAGAGCCUAGAACAUGGAGGUAAUUCGGUAUUAUUUAACAUAAAUUCUGCCACUAUAGAGAGUACUGAGUGGCUUACAAUUCUUAUCUUUUUAAAAAGACUAAAUUUACAAUGCUGUCUUCAAGAUUUCUGAGAUGGAAAGCCUAUCCUUGAUUAAACUUUUGGUCCUGUUAUUUUGGUCGUUUUUAAAACGUCCUGUUUUACCACCAAGAUUAUUAUGAAUUCCUAACCGUACUUCACUUUUUCCUGUCCUUUCUGCAAUAGCACUGCCCAGCUCUUGCUGGUUAUUUUUGAGGUGUGGCUCUAUGCUGACUCAUGACUCUAGUUCCUUCCUGCUGACUGCUGGAUAGAAGCCUCUCGUCUGCAUUUACUACCAAUGGGUACAGCAGAGUGUUGGUCACUGCAUGCCUGAAAUAAUAUGGCUAAGAAGAGUGACUGCCAGGGGCAGGGAACUCAUGGCCAGCCCGUUUAGUUCCCCUACGGGAUUCCUUCCAGAGUGCAGCCACCAAAGGACAGUGGCCACUGUAUUGGACAGCACAGAUUGAAAACAUCUCCAAGACUGCAGAAAGUUCUACGGGAUGCACUGCUCUAGGAGGUAAACAACAUAAAGGUCGAGAAACUUUUAUCCACCAUGUUGUUUAUGCCAUGGAGACAGCUUGUCAUACACUGAAUUCUCUGAAACAGCAAGCAAAAAUAAACCUCUCCUCCUUUAAAAUACAAUUUAAGCAGAUUCUACAGAAUCAUCAAAUGAAGAGGCGUCCACAUAUUUUGUCUCAGCUGGAGGAAGUGGUGCCUUGGCUUUUGUUUUUCUCCUAAAAUAAAAAUAAAAUGCAGAAAAUAAAAUAAAAUUAUAUAUACAUACAUAUAUUCCUAGAUAUGAUUUUAUAAAACUCCCAAAGAUAUGUAUAUAAUUUUCACAUUUGCAAACAGCACAAUAUUAACUGUUGUUUUCCUUUUCCAAUCUUCACUUUGUUUUGUGUUUUGAGCACUAUGCAUACAUUAUUUGGUAAUAAAAAGAGGAUAAGGAAAUGUCAUAUUUGUCUACAUUCAGUUUAAUAAAUGUAUUUGUCACUAAAUAGUAAAUAAAGAGUAUAAUUUAUUGUCUUUGUUAAGAUAAAUUAUAAAAAUCUGUAACUUCUCUAAAUAGAAAUCAAUUACCGUACCUAUUCACACAAAUUCAAGCACUCCUGUGCACUAGUCAUCUUGAAGAGACAUAUGCAGUACAUUUUACAUUAAUCUAUUAUGAUAACACUUUUAAUAAUAUUAGGCACACUAUAUUAAACUUUUACAAUUGCAAAAAAAAGAAUUUUAAAUGCUGUUAUAAUGAAUAUAUGUUUAUAAGAAUUUAUAUGAAGAAAAA
This is a long non-coding RNA of Cavia porcellus (domestic guinea pig), 1670 nucleotides long. RefSeq lists it as uncharacterized. NCBI's taxonomy places the organism in Eukaryota, Metazoa, Chordata, Mammalia, Rodentia, Caviidae. The transcript has 5 exons. The record is from RefSeq and is a predicted model, not a curated record.